UACGAAGGGUGCAAGCGUUAAUCGGAAUUACUGGGCGUAAAGGGUGCGUAGGCGGUUGUUUAAGUCUGUCGUGAAAUCCCCGGGCUCAACCUGGGAAUGGCGAUGGAUACUGGACAGCUAGAGUGUGUCAGAGGAUGGUGGAAUUCCCGGUGUAGCGGUGAAAUGCGUAGAGAUCGGGAGGAACACCAGUGGCGAAGGCGGCUGCCUGGGCCUGGCCUGACGCUGAGGCGCGAAAGCGUGGGGAGCAAUCCGG
This 253-nucleotide ribosomal RNA is filed under the name uncultured bacterium. RNAcentral's name for it is "partial 16S ribosomal RNA". It matches the Rfam family "Bacterial small subunit ribosomal RNA", at positions 524 to 776 of the family's 1533-position model. The record is from RNAcentral.